This 253-nucleotide ribosomal RNA is filed under the name uncultured bacterium. Its description in RNAcentral is "partial 16S ribosomal RNA". It matches the Rfam family "Bacterial small subunit ribosomal RNA", at positions 524 to 776 of the family's 1533-position model. The record is from RNAcentral.
GACGUAGGGGGCCAGCGUUGUUCGGAAUUACUGGGGGUAAAGGGUUCGUAGGCGGUGUGGCAAGUCGGGAGUGAAAUCUCUGGGCUCAACUCAGAGACUGCUUCCGAAACUGCUGUGCUGGAGUGUGGGAGAGGCGCGUGGAAUUGCAGGUGUAGCGGUGAAAUGCGUAGAUAUCAGGAAGAACACCAAUGGCGAAGGCAGCUCUCUGGGACGGUACUGACGCUGAGACGCGAAAGCGUGGGGAGCGAACAGG